Long non-coding RNA from Gossypium arboreum, 294 nucleotides. RefSeq lists it as uncharacterized. The record is from RefSeq and is a predicted model, not a curated record. Lineage: Eukaryota; Viridiplantae; Streptophyta; Magnoliopsida; Malvales; Malvaceae. The transcript is spliced from 2 exons.
GUAAAGGUACCUUUCUUGGCUGAUCCCUUUCGCUGUAUGGCGUGCUCGUUUGGGUUGGGCGUCGGCUAAGAGUGCUCGGAGCGUGGAUUAACUCUAGUCUCCAAUCAGGUAAUUUCCAGCCUUAGACGGAUCGGGGCUACGAGGGGCUCGGAGGAAGCCACACACACUAUUUAUGUUAUAGUUUUGAUUAUUGCUUUUAAAUGUUUUUAUGUGGGUUGUUGUAAAGCCGUUGUAAUUUUCUGGAUUUCAAAUUUGGAAUUUUAUUUAUUGUUCUUAUAAUUGCUAGUAUUAGAA